UACGAAGGGGGCUAGCGUUGCUCGGAAUUACUGGGCGUAAAGGGCGCGUAGGCGGACAGUUUAGUCAGAGGUGAAAGCCCAGGGCUCAACCUUGGAAUUGCCUUUGAUACUGGCUGUCUUGAGUUCGGGAGAGGUGAGUGGAAUGCCGAGUGUAGAGGUGAAAUUCGUAGAUAUUCGGCGGAACACCAGUGGCGAAGGCGACUCACUGGCCCGAUACUGACGCUAGGCGCGAAAGCGUGGGGAGCAAACAGG
This 252-nucleotide ribosomal RNA is filed under the name uncultured bacterium. RNAcentral describes it as "partial 16S ribosomal RNA". It matches the Rfam family "Bacterial small subunit ribosomal RNA", at positions 524 to 776 of the family's 1533-position model. The record is from RNAcentral.